GCGCGGGCGCGGGCGCGGGCGCGGGCUCCCCCUGAAUUCCGAACGCAAGCGCGCUCUGCCGCUGGUGGGUUGACGUGAGCGGGCGCGGGUGGGGCUCUCGGUUUCGGCUCGCUCACGCCGCCCCGCUCCAAUUUUCCGCCUCCAUUUCUGCUGCCUCCGCCCAACAAAGCCCACGCUCCCAUCCAUCCAGUUUCUCUCCCCCCAAACACUUGUUUGGGUUCCUCUUCCGCGCUCGCCGGCUCCGCGGGCGGCGAACUGGAGAGGCGGGCGGGAGGGCGUCUCGCGGCGAGGACAUUUGGGUUUGUCGUUUGUGCUGCUGUUAGUAUAGCUAAUUGUUGAGGAUCCGAACCUAAUAAUGGUGGAAAACACUCACCGUAGUGGUCGCCAUGCGUUCGGGGACUUGACAAAUAUCCUUUGCAAGCGACCAGCCCUGUCAGAUCCAGAGAAGAGUACCGGUGGAAUAAAGAUUAGACGGAUCGAAAAGUCUAGGACAGAGUUUCAUGAAAAUGCAUCAAACAGCAGCACAGGGAAGGGGAUUGUAUUUGGGCAUUUAUUUGAUGGUGUUGCCAAACAGAAUUUCGAAAAGCCGUCUAUUUUUCGGCAUACUAAGGUCCACCACAUGGCUGCCAAGGCAGCUGGGCUGCUAUCCAAGGAGGUCGGUGACUUGAAGGAACGUGGCACGUCAAUAGAUUCAUUUGAUCUCAGUGAUAAGGAGCAGGAUUCCUCGCUGGAUUCUGAAGGUGAGUAUGAUGACGACGACGACGACGACGACGAGAUGGAUGCUGAAUUGCCAGGUCAUUUUAGCAGCUCAGAGCUAGCUAAUAAAACAGCAGCUAAUGAUGGUGAGUGCUUGACUCAAGAGGAGAUAGUUGGAUCAUCAGGAAAUCAGAAGACUAUGUCUUCAUUAGAGUUUGUGACAGGUGGUGACAUGCCAAGUUCUAGUGUUCCACAUGCUUCAGCGAGAACUGGUGGCUCUGAAGAAGUUGCUGCCACAAAAUCUUGUGCUUGUUCUUUUUGUCUUAAGGCUGCUUUUAUGUGGACGGAUCUCCAUUAUCAGGAUGCAAGAAGCCGGCUUUCUGGUAGGACGACAAAUUCAACUCCUUUUAUCUUUUUCAAAAAGAAAAGUGUUGAAGAAAAGCAUAAAGCUUGCUAGAGACGCCAAAAAAGGCAAAGGAAAUGAAUAUGCUGCCAAUUUACCUGGGUAUAACUCAAAACGAUCUGUGGGGUUGGAGUUUGAACUAUCUCAACAACAGAGACAACUCUUUCUUUGUACAGAGAAUGCCCUUUUUCAUGAGUCAGCACAGCUUCAUUCAUCUUUUGUGAAGUUAAAAGAAUUAAGAGAGAACUGCAAGACAGAUCUUGAAGCUAUCAGCAAUCCUUUAUUAAGAAAAUGAGAGCUGCAUGGUUGCAUUGCUGAACUAUUCUUUUCCCUGAGAGUUAGAGCAGCUGGCUCGGUUUGAUCAAGACGUGCAUUGAGAUAGGCUGCCAACUCAGGAAUUGUGGUGGUUACCAUCAAUUUGGGGGUUCUUGGCUGUAGCGAUUACUCCUAUCAUAAAGCACUGGUCCAGCAUCUUUGUAGGCUUGUAGCUCAUGUAAAAAUCCCCAUGGCGAGUUUAGGAACUGUAUGAUGGUUUGUCUCAUUUGAGUCAUAGGCUUCACCUGUACUUUGUAGUGAGCUUGCUUCGUAUGAUAAUUGCUUCACGAUCUCCAAACAAAAGGGAAAACAAUGUUGUUUCGAGUUUGCUGGUCAGUUUUAUAGUGCAGGAACCUGUAUCUUCUGAGAGGUUUUUAUUCGUCUUUUUGGGCCACGAUGCUGGUCUACUUGA
This is an RNA transcript of Panicum virgatum (switchgrass), 1826 nucleotides long. RefSeq lists it as uncharacterized. The record is from RefSeq and is a predicted model, not a curated record. The transcript has 5 exons. Lineage: Eukaryota; Viridiplantae; Streptophyta; Magnoliopsida; Poales; Poaceae.